Molecule: ribosomal RNA, 465 nt
Filed under: uncultured bacterium
Lineage: Bacteria
Description: partial 16S ribosomal RNA
Rfam family: Bacterial small subunit ribosomal RNA
Source: RNAcentral
CCUACGGGGGGCAGCAGUAGGGAAUCUUCCACAAUGGACGAAAGUCUGAUGGAGCAACGCCGCGUGAGUGAAGAAGGGUUUCGGCUCGUAAAGCUCUGUUGGUAGUGAAGAAAGAUAGCGGUAGUAACUGACCUUUAUUUGACGGUAAUUACUUAGAAAGUCACGGCUAACUACGUGCCAGCAGCCGCGGUAAUACGUAGGUGGCAAGCGUUAUCCGGCAUUUUUGGGCGGAAAGCGAUUGAAGGCGGUUUAAUAAUUCUGAUGGGAAAGGCUUCGGCUCAAACGGGGGGUUGCAUCAGAAACUGGUGAACUAGAGUGCGAAAGAGGAGAGUGGAACUCCAUGUGAAGCGGUGGAAUGCGUAGAUAUAUGGAAGAACACCAGAGGCGAAGGCGGCUUUCUGGUCUGAAACUGACGCUGAGGCUCGAAAGCAUGGGGAGCGAACAGGAUUAGAUACCCGAGUAGUC